AAAAUGUCUAUUUUUUCAUUUGAUUUUAAUUUUUGUUGUGUUUUUUACCUUAUUUAUUACCUUCUUAGUGCAUUUGUAUAUCGUACGACACUCAUUCAAUACUGCAUUAGAUAGUCGACGGACUGCGUUGAAAUAUGGAGUUCUUUCAGAAAAUGUGAUGCAAUACAGUUCACUUGGGGCAGCAUUUGUUAAUGUCACACCGGCUCAGCUGGCAUGCAAUGUCCUGCUACUGAGACGUUCCUGGUCAGCGGCGCCGGCUCAUUGUGUUAUCAUUCGAACAGAUCCAGAAUUAGUAGAAAUGCUGCCAAAAUGGAGAAUACAGUACUAUGGUGAAACUAUCUACACGACGGGAAUAAGGAGAAGCAUAGCUCACACACAAUUUAACCGAGAUACAUUGGAGAACAAUAUAGGCCUUUUUGAACAUUAUCAGAAUAUAACCCUGAAUGAAUAUAUAUUUCAAAAUAUUCCAAUGGACGUAGAAUUAUGGAUGUCAGAUGCAAUGAAGAAUUUCAGCAUUAUAUCGUGGACGUACCGUCUUCAAAAUGGAGAUGCACACUACAAAACAAAAGUUUAUUCCGCUACUGUGCUUGAUACGGAAAAAUGCAAAAAUUUGACUGCAGAUGUAGUAGAACGGAGAAACUAUGAAUUUUGCAUACAACCAAGAGAGAAGCACGUGUCCGUGGAAUAUGGUGCGUUGGUGGCAUUCAAUUUCAAAAUUCUGGGCCUCUAUUCGUGGGGAGAAAGAGCUUUCAGGAGCAGCCCAUUAGUAAUCAUACAAAUUUCUUAUUUUCAUGAUUGGCUAAAUGUUGCGAUGACAUUGUAGGAAUAUUUUGAAGAAUAAUAAUUAUGAAUCAAGUGUCGGCUUAUUUCAUCUUCGGUAAACAUAAACUUAUAAGACAUGUGACUAUAUAAUUGCUUACCCCGCUGUGCUAUAC
Molecule: long non-coding RNA, 935 nt
Organism: Leptidea sinapis
Lineage: Eukaryota; Metazoa; Arthropoda; Insecta; Lepidoptera; Pieridae
Exons: 6
Source: RefSeq, a predicted model, not a curated record